Molecule: non-coding RNA, 322 nt
Organism: Pelobates cultripes (western spadefoot toad)
Lineage: Eukaryota; Metazoa; Chordata; Amphibia; Anura; Pelobatidae
Source: the annotation of a GenBank genome assembly
GUUUCUUUAUUUCUAUACUGAGUUUGCCAUAAUUGGCGUUAAAUAAUGCGGUGUGUGAUUUUGUGAACCGUAUACCUAGAAAUGUAAUGUAGUCAGUUCUCCAGUCGUAUGUGUAGGUGUUUUUUAGUUUAUAAGUGACCUCUGGGGGGAGACCUUUGCAAAGAGCUUGCGUCUUAGAAAUAUUUAGUUUGUAAUAGGACAUUUUACUAUAGUUUUCUAGUGUAGAGUGGAAAUGUGGUAGGGAGGCUUCGGGGUCUUGUAACGUCAGUAGUACAUCGUCCGCGAAUAGUGUAAGUUUAUGUUCUUUGUUUUGUGUUUUGAC